AACACCUCAAAGACUUCAAUUUGUUUUGAAUGGCUUUGGACUUGAGCAAUCCCAACACCAGUCUUUACGAUCGGUGGAGGGUUGCUUGAAAUGCAGGUGCAGCUGGACAUUCUCCUGAGCUAAAAGCAUAUUUAUUUAGUCCCGUCAAACGGAUUAUUACUUUUGCUGCAGCUAACAUAAAGGGAGUUUGACCGUAUUGGCUGACUGAUGCAGGAUUUCACAAGGGUCGGCAACGAUUCUUGUAAA
Molecule: unclassified non-coding RNA, 246 nt
Filed under: Mortierella sp.
Lineage: Eukaryota; Fungi; Mortierellomycota; Mortierellomycetes; Mortierellales; Mortierellaceae
Also listed under: 1 other name
Description: partial internal transcribed spacer 2
Source: RNAcentral